GCAAUUAAUGUUACCAUACUUUUAUAUUGUCUUUCCAUAAUCGGAAUAUCCUAAUAUACAAUUGUAUGAGUUAUAUCUAUUCACAUAUAUUUGAGUUUUUUUUAAAGUGGUAAUAACAUAAUUAUGCAUUUUUUUCGACAGAAAAUAAUCAGAAAAUUUGCAGGUGAGUGUUUCCUUUUUUUUUUCUGUUCAUACAGAUUUAAUCUUGGUACAAACAUUUCUUGCUACAAAUUUUUCUAUGUUUUAUGCCCAAUUCGUGAAUUUAGUACUUGUAUACAAAUAAAGAGACGUGAUUUGAUUCAUUAGGAAACACUUAUCCGUAAAGACCAAUGGUAGAUGAGUUGAACUUUUAAAGAUUUGGAUACGGUUUACAAAUUAGCAUUACGUUUGUGAAAGUCACAACAGACCCAUCAACAAUCUGGCAGAGUAUUUGAAAUUUGAAAUGUGCAAGUGUUCUUAUAAUUAAUAAAUCGUAAAUCUUAAUUUACAGAAUGCAUACCUCAUUUUAAUAAUAUGUUAUACUAUUUACAUGGCACAAACUAAAAAAGUAAUUGUUGUGAUCAGCCUAACAAAAGGUCAUCAGUCGGUAUAAGUCAUGAGUUAAUUUUUUUACAAUGGAAACUGAUAUUACAAUUGUGUCCACUCUUUUCUAGGAAUCUUUCAAGAGUUUUGAUAAUGUUAACAAAAUCAUUUAUAGUUUAAAAAAUUUAAAAUUUUUGAAAAACUAAGGCUUUUCUACCUCAGGCAUAGAUUACCUUAGCUGUAUUUGGCAGAACUUUUAGGAAUUUUGGUCUUUAAUGCUCUUUAACUUCGUACUUUAUUUGGGCUUUUUAACUUUUUUGGAUUCGAGCGUCACUGAUGAGUCUUUUGUAAACGAAACGCGCGUCUGGUGUAUAUACAAAAUUUAGUCCUGGUAUCUAUUAUGAGUUUAAUUAUACUGAUAUCAUUAUAUACCUGGGAACUAGUUAGUAAACAAAUAUUUUUCAUAUAAGUUCAUUUAUAUAUUUUGGAGUUUAGUGUGACGUCCAUUUUCGGUGAACUUGUACACAUUUUCAUUUAGGGGUCAGCUGAGGACCACCUGUAGGUGAGGGAUUUUCUAUCUGCUUUGAAGACUGGUGGUCUGUGGCAUUUGUUUGCUCUUUGGUCGGGUUGUUGUCUCUUUGACAUAUUCCAUAUUUCCACUGUCAAUUUUAUUAUAAUGGAAAUGCAUUGUACAUAUCUGGUAUUUCAUAAAUGAGGUGUGGUUCGGGAAGUAAAUAUUUUUACAAAUUCUAACCACCAUGUUAUUUAUUCGUUUGUAUUUUGGGACAUUGAUUUUGACAUUUUAUAAGAAACAUUACCAUUUGAAUUUCGUUUGAAGUUCGGUAUUUUUGUUUUUUAUUCUUUUUAUCUGUGUAUAAGAGAAAAACUCAACCUUUUGUGUUUUGAAAUAAGUGGAAGUUAGAACACCAUCGUAAGUGAUUUCAUUUAGACAAAUAGAUUUUUUAACAGAUUUAUAUCGAAAUAAUAAUUAUAAAUGAAAAAACACAUCAAACGAAUGGACAACAAAUGACAGCUGUCACAUUCCUGACAUAGUACAGGCAUGUUCAAAUGUAGAAAAAUGGUGAAUGCAUUAGCAUUUUUAUUUUUUACCUGCAUGACUGUUGUAAGUUUAAACUAUUCUAUAUCAAUAAGUUGCAAACGAAAAUCUGAUGAUAAGCCGAAUUAUUUACAAGACAACGACACUGCGUUUGUCGUUCAUAUGACCUGUUAAGUUGUCAAUAGUUUUCAUGAUUGUAAGUUUGAAAUUUCUGCUGGCGCUCUUAAUAAUCAAAUUUAAGAUCAUGCAACUAAAUGUUAAAGUUUAUCUUCCGUAUACAAUCCGUAAGUUAUGUGUACAAGACAUACUGAAAAGACCGCCGUUUCUUGUAAUAAAUCUUGACGUAUUUAUAACACUUCUUUAAGAUGCAGUCAUUCCCAAAAAUUUAACUGCCACACAAUUUAGAAGACAUCAUGUCAAAACAAAUCAAAAGUUCAAUCAACUAAUAAUAUAAUAAUAAAUAAUUCUUAUAUGAUUUGCAUAUCUAUAAAUACUUGAAUUGGAUUGGUCAAUUAGAAUUUUUCUCUAAGUUUACACUUCGAUAAACCAUGUUUCCGAAACUACUUUUGUAAUCUAUUCAUGCGCGAUACACAAGCUUGCAGUGAUCCCGGGAUUUUCAGCAAAUUGAGAUUUAAAAACAAUUGCAUAACAGUUGUGACUAUUCUAGUGCAUAAUAUGUAACAAAAAAAGAAAUAAAAUUAAAGCACUAAAGCUUCGAAAAUGUAUAAAAAUAAGAUUUAAUAAAAUUCCGCGAAAUUUCAUGAAGGAUUUGGCGAAUUUACGUCAUGGCAAAACACGACGUCAUACGAAUGGAGAUUUUCAAGGGAAAGAUUAUUUCGUUACGUGUACGAUUCAAAUUCGGAUAACAUUUAAUUAAAAUGAAGUUUUUGAGGUAGGUGCUAUUUCAUUUAAAAUUCCGUUUUAUUUAUCGGACAUUUAUGGUUUUUAGAAAGUCAAGAAGGCGGCGUACUCCUUAGUUACGACUUGCCAUUGUGCUUUUGGUGGUAAAUAUCCCUCUUGCUGCCAAAGGGACAUUUAUGGCUUCUACACACAAAUCUUGUUGAUUGUGUAGAACGUCAAAGGUCCAUUGUAACGUCACAAUACUCAGGGGAACUGACAACGUCAAAAUACGGCGUCAAAAGGGCGAUUUUGGCGGGAACGAAGCAAACUGAAUAAAAUGCUUUAAAAGUAUACUUUAAACGGAUGUCAAUAAAUGAUACAGGAUCAUAAGCUUGUUAGUACUAUAAUACACACUUCUUUAACGUGUUAACUAAUUAUCUAGUUCGUCAUUUUCAUGUAAAAUGUUGCAUUCUUUCGAGAAAUUUGUUUUACGUUUUUUUUUGUACAUCUAUCAAUCAGAAUGUCUCAUAUAAAUCAAAAAUCUUAUCCCUGAUAAAUAAUCAUAAAAAAGGUAACUGUUAUACUUGAUUACGUUUAAUAUUAUUAUUCAUUCACAAUACACCAUACACGCUUUAUUUAAAAGAACUGGAUAAUUCAUUUAGGGCUCAAAUACCACGAUUGAAAUCUCAGCUAGGAUUUUUUUUUGUAAAAGUACACAUAUGUUAACCGUUGUACUUGUAUUGCCAUACGAUAUUUCAAUACAUUUUAAACCUGUUUCUAUUUUCAUUCGGCGAAAUGGGGAUGUUAAAUUAGUAGUAGACACAAUGAUUUCUAUUCCUAUCAUACAUAUCAUAGAUAUCCUUUCCCAGUGGCAACCUUUUUUUUCUGGCAUUCACCGCAGAUCUUUUACUUUGUAGGACUCAUUGAGCAAUAGAUUUAUUGUAUAUUGAAUUUCAGACGUCCUUUAUAUUGCAUGAAAUAUUUGCCACUGAACGUUGAGAAGAGAAUAAUUUAUCAGUUAACAGAUUUAAAAAUAUUUCGUGUAUGUCAAUUACAGUGUGUAUUUUAUCAUAAUAAAUGCAAAUGAUUUAUUAUUGAUUCAGGUUCACUUGUAGACAAUAGAAAUUCAUUUUAGAGAAUUUCAUUCCUCGUUUUUACUAUGUUUUUUUUUUAAUUCGUAUUCUCUAAAAUUUUGAGCAAUAAGUGGUCAACAAAAUUAUAAUAAACACGAUUAAAAAAUAAGCAAAAUGAAUAUGGAUAAUGAUUUUUAUAUAAAAAAUAGUCCUCGCCUACCGAAACAAGGAUUGAAAUCAUGAUAAUUUUAAUCUGACACGUUUGAUACUUUACAACAAGAAGUAGUUCAUAGAAUCAAAGAACAGCUGCUCGGAGAUUUUAUUUAUUUUAAUGAAUUUGUACACGCUUUGUUUUUAUUUUCAUUUUCAUUGAGUGCCGUUGUUUUGCCGUUUAUAUAAUGAUUUGAGAGAUUUUUUUUACAGUGUUUAUACCAAUUACCUAAUAAAAUAAAACGAGAAUAAAUAUUUUACUAUUUUAUAGGUGCAUGGUUAAGAAUCAUUUAUGCAUUUCACUAUACAAAGAUAAACAAGUCGCCCUUAAAGAUAGUAUAGCAAUUGGUAUAUUAUUUUCACUUUAUUUUAAGACAAGAAAGAUAAAAAAUAUAUAUUCCAAGGUUAAAAGUUGUAUUUGUAAAUAAUCUUGUAUUAAAAACAUCGUUUAUGACAAUCUUAGAGCAUAUUUAACUUCCGUAAAAUAACUUAUACAUCGUUUUCAUAAUUACGGCUACAUUGACGCGGGAAAAAUUAUGGACGGCGGGAAAGCGCAGUUCUACAGAUAGGCACACAGAUAGGCACAAGUUUUGCAACGUCACAGAUAAGAAACGUCAAGAUGCUUUUGGCGCGACAAAGCAAGAAAAAAACUCGGCAGCAAGAGGGUUAAAUAUAGUAGCCAUCAACAAAACAAAUGUUUAUUAAAUAUCACAAAUGUUUGACUGAAGAAUUAUAAGGAUUAAACACAUUUUUUCUAGAGGUUAUUGAUGUGUAAACCGGGUCUCUUACUCACAAACUCAACAUAAAAGUCCUUCGGACUUUUAUUCAGUUUGUGAGUUAAUCGCCCCGGUUUUCACAUCAAUAACCUCUAGAAAAAAUGUGUUUAAUCCUAUAAUAAUAUACAAUCGCACAAAAAGCACUUGUUCAAUAAAAUAAUACUAUUCAAUAAACACAACGAUGCAAUUAGAAAUACAAUGUUUAGUUCCUACUGGAAGUGUUAGCUCUUUGAAAACUUUACUUUAAUACAUACACAUCUUACAAAUUCAUUUUAGAAUGUAGGAUUUAAGGCAUGAAAAACAUUACAACAAAAUCGCCCUUUAUGAAUUGCAAAUGACUGAUAUCUUAUCAUUAUUGUUCUAGUAACAGCCAGGAUCCUGGAACAUUGGGUGACACUAUGCAACCAUCUACUUAUGAAUGCAUUGAAAAAUCUAACGUCGCAUCGCCUGGUGCUUAUGAUACUUGUGAUAACAAGGAAAGUGGCUAUAUUACAGUUCAAUGACAAUAUUCAGUCAAUUUACCAAAAUAUGAAAAUGAAAGUUGUGACAUGUUUUAUUAUACUUUCGUUCUGAGCAUGACAGUAAUUAACUGUUUUGUUGAUUUUUGUAUCAGAAAUAUGGCUGCUUAUCUCAAAGGAUGAAGACAACACACAUAGAAAACAAAAAUCAAUGUUUACUAAUACACCACGAAGUCCGUCACGCAUAUUAUUGUCUACCAUUAAUAAAAUAUGAAUUUCCAAAUUUGAUUCCGCCAGUUGUUUGUUUUAAUCAGUAUAAUAUCUUACAUUUAUAUUACCUUCCACAAGAGUUGCAAGGAUGAAAGACAG
This 5305-nucleotide long non-coding RNA is filed under the name Mytilus galloprovincialis (Mediterranean mussel). Lineage: Eukaryota; Metazoa; Mollusca; Bivalvia; Mytilida; Mytilidae. The record is from RNAcentral.